GACAAGCAAGUGCUGGUGAGGAGGGAGUGCAAGGGAAUGUUGGUCUAUAAAUAGAGCAAGGGUGGUGUGGCGCAUGCAGUCGUCGGUGGAUCCUUGUCCAUGGUUGCAGCUACCAUAGGGUACGUUGGUGGUGUGGUGUGUGGUGUGGGUCUCCGUCAUGGGAUGGGAGUUAAGAGAUGGAGCGGCAGGAGGCAGUUGGGAGUUGGGGGCGGGCCGACCAUCUUCGAUAUUCGAUGGAGAGGGGCUGCCGCGCGCCUAACAUGACCAAAGUAGUAGUAUAUGCAGCAGGGACAGACAGACACAUGUUCAUGGUUCAAUUCAUUUGGUGCAUGCAGUUGGAUGGAGGCCGCGUUGCAUUGCAUUGCAUUGAUUCAGAGUCAUGUCAGUGAGCGUUUGGGUGUUAGAUGUGAGUGGUUAUCACACAAUUAUUGCAUUGAUUCAGUCAUGUCAAUGAGGGUUUGGGUGUUAGAUGUGAGUGAUUAUCACACAAUUAAACAUGGAUACAUCAAUAUAAUCCAUCCGUCCAUCUCAA
Long non-coding RNA from Panicum virgatum (switchgrass), 532 nucleotides. RefSeq lists it as uncharacterized. NCBI's taxonomy places the organism in Eukaryota, Viridiplantae, Streptophyta, Magnoliopsida, Poales, Poaceae. The record is from RefSeq and is a predicted model, not a curated record. The transcript is spliced from 2 exons.